AACGUAGGACACAAGCGUUAUCCGGAGUUACUGGGCGUAAAGGGCGUUUAGGCGGGUGAUUAAGUUCGCUAUGAAAGCGCCAGGCUAAACCUGGCGAGGCUGGCGGAUACUGGUCAUCUGGAGUAAGGAAGAGGGAGGUAGAAUUCCGCGUGUAGUGGUGAAAUGCGUAGAGAUCCGGAGGAACCCCAGAGGCGAAGGCGGCCCCCUGGCUCGUACCUGACGCUCAGCCACGAAAGCAUGGGGAGCGAACGGG
This 253-nucleotide ribosomal RNA is filed under the name uncultured bacterium. RNAcentral's name for it is "partial 16S ribosomal RNA". It matches the Rfam family "Bacterial small subunit ribosomal RNA", at positions 524 to 776 of the family's 1533-position model. The record is from RNAcentral.